UCUUGACUAGUAUAUCGGUUUAGUACACGCGCUUGUCAUCCACAAGUCGUAGAGGUGUUUCGCGCGAAAGCUGGGUUCGACUCCCAGGUCGAGAG
Non-coding RNA from Mycena vitilis, 95 nucleotides. NCBI's taxonomy places the organism in Eukaryota, Fungi, Basidiomycota, Agaricomycetes, Agaricales, Mycenaceae. The record is from the annotation of a GenBank genome assembly.